UACGUAGGGGGCGAGCGUUGUUCGGAAUUACUGGGCGUAAAGUGCGCGUAGGCGGUUUUACAAGCCAGAGGUGAAAUGCCUGAGCUUAACUUGGGAAUUGCCUUUGGAACUGUAUGGCUUUGAGGACGAGAGAGGUGAGUGGAAUUCCCAGUGUAGAGGUGAAAUUCGUAGAUAUUGGGAAGAACACCGGUGGCGAAGGCGGCUCACUGGCUCGUUUCUGGCGCUGUAGCGCGAAAGCGUGGGGAUCAAACAGG
RNAcentral lists this ribosomal RNA (254 nucleotides) under uncultured bacterium. Its description in RNAcentral is "partial 16S ribosomal RNA". It matches the Rfam family "Bacterial small subunit ribosomal RNA", at positions 524 to 776 of the family's 1533-position model. The record is from RNAcentral.